This 324-nucleotide ribosomal RNA is filed under the name Pribumia atrigularis. RNAcentral's name for it is "partial 12S ribosomal RNA". Lineage: Eukaryota; Metazoa; Arthropoda; Arachnida; Araneae; Pholcidae. The record is from RNAcentral.
AGAUAAUACUAAUUAAGGCAAAAUAUUAAACCAUUAUAUAAUGGCGGUCUCAAUACAUUAAAGAAACUCGCUUUAUAAUCGUAACAACCCGUUAAUUUUAACUAGACCAAAAUAGUCUAUAUACCGCCAUCAUGCAAGAAUUAUUAUUGAAAAUAACCCAAAUACUAACAAAAAACAAAAAAUUAGGUCAAGGUGUAGCUUAUGGUAAAGAAAAAGUAAGUUACACUAAAAAUAAUUUAAGAAAGUAACAUAAAAAUAACACAGAAAAAGAAUUUAUAUAUACAAUCUAAUUAAAAUCUAGUAUAGAAAAAUAAAUAGAGACGC